RNAcentral lists this ribosomal RNA (498 nucleotides) under uncultured bacterium. Its description in RNAcentral is "partial 16S ribosomal RNA". It matches the Rfam family "Bacterial small subunit ribosomal RNA", at positions 30 to 523 of the family's 1533-position model. The record is from RNAcentral.
AUUGAACGCUGGCGGAAUGCUUUACACAUGCAAGUCGAACGGUAGAGGGGGCAACCCCUCGAGAGUGGCGAGCGGGUGAGUAAUAUAUCGGAACGUGCCCAGUCGUGGGGGAUAACGUAGCGAAAGUUACGCUAAUACCGCAUACGAUCUAAGGAUGAAAGCGGGGGACUCGCAAGAGCCUCGCGCGAUUGGAGCGGCCGAUAUCAGAUUAGGUAGUUGGUGGGGUAAAGGCUCACCAAGCCAAAGAUCUGUAGCUGGUCUGGGGGGACGACCAGCCACACUGGAACUGAGACACGGGCCAGACUCCUACGGGAGGCAGCAGUGGGGAAUUUUGGACAAUGGACGCAAGUCUGAUCCAGCCAUUCCGCGUGCAGGAUGAAGGCCCUCGGGUUGUAAACUGCUUUUGUACGGAACGAAAAGGUUUCUAUUAAUACUAGGAGCUCAUGACGGUACCGUAAGAAUAAGCACCGGCUAACUACGUGCCAGCCGCCGCCGUAA